AGUUUUGGAUACAGUGGAUCCAUAAUUCGGUGAGUUAAAAAAUAGCUUCGCUAACAGAAAAUUGGAUAUUGAAGAAGUUAUGAUUUCAAUUCGUAUGCUCAGACCUAAUGGUUUUGAUUUCUACCAGAUAUCCUGAUGAUCGGUUUGAUCGGUUUUGGGAGCCAUUUGGGGACAAAGAUCCCACCACAUCGGAAAACAAAAAUCUAUCCAUUUCCGGUAUCUGGAAUCUUCCUCCGUCGAAGGUAUUUGAAACGGAGUUGACAGCAAGUCAAUCUGGUCCCCUGGAGUUGAGGUGGCCUCUGGCUCCCCUUCAGAAUUCCAUGUACUACAUUGCUUUAUACUUUGCAGAUGAUCGUAAUUCAUCUUUUGGGCCUUCAAGAGGGUUCAAUGUCAGCAUAAAUGGGAUAACAUAUUACAAAAAUUUUAGCUUGACACAAACAGGCGCUGCUAUCUUUGCAACGCAGUGGCCCCUUGGCG
This 477-nucleotide unclassified non-coding RNA is filed under the name Hevea brasiliensis (rubber tree). Lineage: Eukaryota; Viridiplantae; Streptophyta; Magnoliopsida; Malpighiales; Euphorbiaceae. The record is from RNAcentral.